GACGAACGCUGGCGGCGUGCUUAACACAUGCAAGUCGAACGGAAAGGCCCUGCUUGUUUGGGGUGCUCGAGUGGCGAACGGGUGAGUAACCCGUGAAUAACCUGCCCUUGACUUUGGGAUAACUUCAGGAAACUGGUGCUAAUACCGGAUAGGAGCUCCUGCUGCAUGGUGGGGGUUGGAACGUUUCGGCGGAUGGGGAUGGACGCGGGGCUUAUCAGCUUGUUGGUUGGGUAGUGGCUUACCAAGGCUUUGACGGGUAGCCGGCCUGAGAGGGUGAACGGCCACAAUGGGCCUGAGAUACGGCGCAGACGCCUACGGGAGGCAGCAGGGGGGAAUAUUGCACAAUGGGCGGAAGCCUGAGGCAGCAACGCUGCGUGCGGGAUGACGGCCUUCGGGUGGUAAACCGCUUUCGCCUGUGACGAAGCGGGAGUGACGGUAAUGGGUAAAGAAGCACCGGCUAACUACGUG
This 468-nucleotide ribosomal RNA is filed under the name uncultured bacterium. Its description in RNAcentral is "partial 16S ribosomal RNA". It matches the Rfam family "Bacterial small subunit ribosomal RNA", at positions 28 to 507 of the family's 1533-position model. The record is from RNAcentral.